This 213-nucleotide long non-coding RNA is filed under the name Populus tremula. Its description in RNAcentral is "long non-coding RNA (PTRE_LNC003235)". Lineage: Eukaryota; Viridiplantae; Streptophyta; Magnoliopsida; Malpighiales; Salicaceae. The record is from RNAcentral.
AAAAAUAGAGUUUGGUAUUAUAGUAAGUUUCUGACAACUAAAGGGACCCAACACUUAUUAAAAAAAUGGGGGGCCAAACAAUUUUUCUAUGAAAUUCAAAGUUGCCAUCUAUUUUUUUCAUGUUUUUCACUUUAGUCCUCUGUGUGUUCGAUUUCACCAUCUCUUUAAAAAAGAUGUGAUUGGCUAUUAAUUUGGGAUGAGAAUGACUCAAUU